UCUCCAGAACAUUUUUGUUUAUUCUGUAAUCCCACAUCAAGGCAACACAUGAUGUAGAAGUGAGCCCACUCAUUCAUGACAUGAUUCCAUGGUACAAUGACUUACACUGCUAAUUACUUCAUUUUACUGAACGAUAUACAUUUUUUUUUUUACUGAUGAUACUUUUGGUAAAGCUUUUCUUAGCAUUUAGUUAUAAUGUCAUUUGCUUUGAUAAAUAUUCGUGCAAAUAAAUUAUAAAUAUCCACAUUAUGAAAAAACUUCGUAAAGAUAUAAAUAAUACAAUGAAUGGCCUUUUUUUUCUUCCCCAAAAUAAUGGAGAAUGAGCUGUAAUAUAUGUGGAGAAAAAAAGACAGGAAGGCUAAUUAUCAUCAUAAGAUGCACAAAUACUUUCUUUUAAAAACCCUGAUUUCCUCUUCCUGCCUGCAAUGUUGACACCAUGGGUUGUUUUUUGACUUGAAAUGUUAAAAGCAAAUGGACAAUGAUCCAAACUACAAUGUGCUAUAAGAGCUUUUUCAGGCCUAGAUAAUGCCCAAGUGUGCACCCAAACAGCAGAUGUUUUUUGGAUUCAUCUCAGAACUUAGAAACAAUUUUCUUCUUCAAACUUUUGUAGGGUUACUCAUGCAUGAUACUGGAUAAUAGAUGAUAUACUUAUACACACACAAAUACCAAGAAGAAAAAAAAAAUAUAUCUUAAGAAAAUACUUUCAGUUUCUAUCUACCAGCCAGCGGAGACAAAAAGUUGUUUUAUUGUACAGUUGGAAUGAAUACAUUUAUUGCAGGACUUUGAAAUAAUGUAAGUCAUAUAAGAAUAGCUUUAUUUUAAUGUUCAAAUCUGUAGAGCUGCUAUAAAAAUGUGCUAGUUUAAAAAAAUAUCAAAGUUGAGGUAGUCAAGAACCAGUGGUUUUUAGUUGGCAACAAUUUUACUACCCAGACAACAAUGACAUACAGAGAUUCUAAAGAGAAACAGUUUAGUGCUGUAUGGCUAUAAAGUU
This is a non-coding RNA of Biomphalaria pfeifferi, 991 nucleotides long. The record is from the annotation of a GenBank genome assembly. Lineage: Eukaryota; Metazoa; Mollusca; Gastropoda; Planorbidae.